AUGUGUCUGUGUCUCUGCAACCCACAGCAUGGAUCCCUUUCGUCUCUGGGACCUAACCAAGUGUGCCCUCCCCAUCUCCAAAGAGCAAAGCUUUCCAGUAUUGCUGACAUCUGUUUUACUACUGCUUUCUGGAAUUACUGUAUUUAUUGCUAUUUUUUUGUCUUUCACAAAACAAGAAACAAUGUGUUAAAAAUUUUUUUGAGACAAUGCUAUUUAGUAUCUAUGUAUAUUCAAUCAUUACUAAAAAAAUUGAGUGCAUAAUACAUACAUACCAGGCCUCAUUACAUGUGUCUGAAAUGCCAUGAAGAAUAAAAUAAAAAUUCCUUAAUAUUCUGAGAUUGAGAGAUUGAUCAUAAACUAAUAGUUCCAUAAAGAAAUAUUGUUACAUGAUAUCAUGAUAAGCUCUAUGAGGAAAUACUAGAAAGGGAUGGAUAAAGAGAUGUGGCAGGUGUGCCUGUGAGUGUGUGUGUUUGUAUACAUAGGCAUCAAUGAAGCAGAGACUUGAUAAUGUGAAGGCUCAAGCCAUUGAUAAAUUUCAUGCAGGAACAAUAGAGAGAAAAGCAAGAGCAGAAAAGCAAGGAAGAAAGCAUGUGUGAACAACUACAAGAUCAGUGAGGUAGGCUCAUAGUGGCCGAAGAGGAGAAUAGAAAGAGAUGCAGUCACAGAGGUAGCGACAGGGCUGGUGAUGUCGACUCUUGAGUCCAUUGGAGAAAAUUGGUAUUUUAUUCUAAGAGGAGAAUUUUUAAAAUAGUGAGGGUUGGAACCUGAUUUAUACUUUUGAGAACACAUACUACAAACUUGGAAACAAGGUCAAAGGAUGACCAUGUGUGCUUUCAUUGCUAUAAAGUCGCCAAGGGGCCCUGUCAAGGAUGAUUGAAUUCCCUAGUGGAGCAUAACUUUGACAUUUUCUUCGCUUUUG
Molecule: long non-coding RNA, 919 nt
Filed under: Mustela putorius furo (domestic ferret)
Lineage: Eukaryota; Metazoa; Chordata; Mammalia; Carnivora; Mustelidae
Description: lncRNA (ENSMPUG00000027417.1)
Source: RNAcentral